UCCGCCCCUUAUAGAAUCGAUUAUUGAUGGGAAGAUAUUAUUUAACUAUCCAAAAUAUUAUUUAAUUAUUUUCAGAAUUAUUUUCUUUCAAUGUUUAUUCAAAUAGAACUUAAACCCAUCUCAGAAUUUUUAAAUGCUUGAUGACGUCACAUUUAAAACGUGGCAACAUUGGUUUCCCCACUUUGACAGCCAAUGCUUAGUAGAGGGGUACGAAGGAUUCAGCUGUGAACGUGAGCCUUGGAUUGCCAUUGUUUCUCGAGUGUUCGGUCUGAAUCGUAGUGUGCGGGGUCAUUAGACUCAAUUAUUCACCUCUAAUUCUCAGUUCCAAAUUGAUUAAAUAUUACAAUAAAAGUAUAGUGAAGUUAUCCAGCAGCAGUGGAUUUGAAGAAUUUUAGAGCAUACUAUAUCCAAUGAGUUCUACCCCGCACCUACCAUGAAAUCUUAAAGCCACCCUACAACAACACCAAGGCCAGACCACACAGAGAGAAACAAUCAAUAGGCGACCAGCCUGGAUUAUUUCCACAUUUUCUUUUUUUUUGAGUACCUCCAGCUGCUUUCCAACAGUUUUGAGUACCUUCAACUGCUUUCUACCAGUCUUCCUCUCCUGUACCUCCAGCAGGACAGCUGCUAGCGAGAGUUAGCACCCUUGGGUGCUCAUUACAUCAACUUCAAGAUUAGGAAAGAGUGGUUUGUUUGGGAACAUUUACUGUGCUCUUAUUAAAGACAGACUGGUUUUGUGAUAUUUAGUACAUUUUUUUUUAUAGUUCAAUUGCACACACAUUUUUCCUGCUUUAUAUUUUUUAUAGGUUUUUUUUUUCUUUACAACCUAAUAUUUAAUUGAUAGCGUUCCCCAACACUCUGCAAUCUAUAAAGGUAUAAAUUUCUGAGCUCAGAUAUUUUCCCUGAUAAUAGUAGUCGGUACUCUUAUCUUGAUUAUUUUUAGGCUGUGUUCCACUUUUGUAUAAUUAUUUAAACUCAUUCCAUUAUUUUAGUAUAUGUUUAAUUAAAUUUUUAAAAAUUAACUUCACAUAUUAGUCAAAAUUGUAAUUAUUAACUUUAUUUAACUUGAACUUAUUAACUUUACUUAACUUUAACUUAUUAACUUUAUUUAACUUUAACUUUAAUUUAUUAAAUUCAUAUGAACUUCUGGAUUCUAAUCCCUCAGAUUAGUUUUUGGUUUCACUUGUUAUUAUUACUAUUAUAAACCACGAGUUAGGAAAAGGAUCUGUGUAUCUACUCGUAGGUUUAUUUAUUCAAUAAGGCUUGUGCCUGUCCCACUCACAGUGAGGUAUUUAUAUGUUAUAUAUAGUAUCAGGUAGUAUUUAAUUAAGGUGUACGUAUUAUAAACGUACAAUUAUUAUUUGGUGAGGGUUCUACUAACCUAGUUGUAAGUUGUACUUCCUGUAUUAGAGGUACCCGUAGUCAGUUUUUCUAACCUUAUAAAGAGUAUUCUUAGAUCAUAGUUGUAUGAUGAUUUUGUAAUUGACUUUCACUAGUAUCACUUUUUCCUGUCAUGUUAGAGUUACACACUAGUUACUUGUCCUAACUCAGAGAUUGUUAAAAAGAUCUAGUAGUUACAUUCAAUAAAUAUACAUUUAUUGUGA
Long non-coding RNA from Diabrotica virgifera virgifera (western corn rootworm), 1604 nucleotides. RefSeq lists it as uncharacterized. NCBI's taxonomy places the organism in Eukaryota, Metazoa, Arthropoda, Insecta, Coleoptera, Chrysomelidae. The record is from RefSeq and is a predicted model, not a curated record. The transcript is spliced from 2 exons.